GGAAGACGCCCGAUGGAGGGGGAUAACUACUGGAAACGGUAGCUAAUACCGCAUAACGUCGCAAGACCAAAGAGGGGGACCUUGGGCCUCUUGCCAUCGGAUGUGCCCAGAUGGGAUUAGCUAGUAGGUGGGGUAACGGCUCACCUAGGCGACGAUCCCUAGCUGGUCUGAGAGGAUGACCAGCCACACUGGAACUGAGACACGGUCCAG
RNAcentral lists this ribosomal RNA (210 nucleotides) under uncultured bacterium. RNAcentral describes it as "partial 16S ribosomal RNA". It matches the Rfam family "Bacterial small subunit ribosomal RNA", at positions 120 to 334 of the family's 1533-position model. The record is from RNAcentral.